GUUCCCGAUGGGGAUGGGGUUCCCCCGAAACCGCCCAGAUGGGCUGAUGACUCCUACCGCAAC
Molecule: non-coding RNA, 63 nt
Filed under: Roseomonas mucosa
Lineage: Bacteria; Pseudomonadati; Pseudomonadota; Alphaproteobacteria; Acetobacterales; Roseomonadaceae
Description: Fluoride sequence
Rfam family: Fluoride riboswitch aptamer (crcB RNA motif)
Source: Rfam by way of RNAcentral